Molecule: long non-coding RNA, 128 nt
Organism: Protopterus annectens (West African lungfish)
Lineage: Eukaryota; Metazoa; Chordata; Ceratodontiformes; Protopteridae
Exons: 2
Source: RefSeq, a predicted model, not a curated record
UACAAUAUGAACUGGCACCUCACCUAAGUGUCAUGUUUAAUCAUAGCCUCACCUCAGGUUUCGUGCCCACCGAGUGGCGCAGAGCUACAGUUAUCCCACUCCACAAGGGGGGAUCCACCUUGGAUCCC